CGGGUUACAAGUUUUUCCUGACAUUGCCUCAAGCCCUCCUUGCACAACCCUCUCAUCAAUGAAAGCCAAUAAAGUUUAUAAAAAAAAAAAAAAAAAAGAAAGAAACAAACAAACAAACAAACAAAACUAAAAAACCCUAAACAACAACAACAACAAAAAACCACGUACAAAAAAAGAGUAACUUUAGGUUGUCCGCGGAAAGCCUCAAAAAAUGUCAACAAGUGCUGAGUCAGGAAAUUCUCCCCUAAUAGCUUUUGUUGGAAACGUUUAACAUUUCAACUUUAUCUCUUCUUUUCUUUCAGAAGUAUUCAAAAGCAACAAUACCAUCAUUCAGGACUUCUGGCUCCCUGAGGACUAGACCUGAGCCAUGGCCAGCAAACACCCUUUAGAAUCAGACCAGUGGACCAGGCAAACACUCUAAGGAACUGCUUUUCUUCAGCCCUUCUGAGCUGGGGGAAAGAAGGACCCCACGUCUGAUACACCAGUGCCUGUUGCCAUCUGGCCAUCGAAGAGAGUGUCCCCUCUAUAGGGACUGCUUAGCGUCCAGACGCACACCAAGACCUGAGGUAUCAUCUUUGGCAGUGGGCAGGAAAUACCAAGGAACUUCCUUCAUGGGCCCUUGGAUGCCUCCCAGAGACUCAUGGUCACCCUCACAUCAUAGGACAAGAAAGAGUUCAGCCUACAGAGACUGUGGACUUUCAGCCCUUCUCCUCUCAGCCAUCCCACUCAGAGCCCAAGAGCUCAUCGACUCCUCAUUCUACUGGGCAUCCCUGCAGUGAGACAGUUCCCGUGGACACCAAGCUGACACCACCCUCACAGGUAGGAUGUCCGCUAUCUCAGCCUCUUUGCAGCACCCUACCAAUGCCAAAUGAGAGUGGGGUGAUCUCAGGGCUGGGCCCUGGUGACUGGUCC
RNAcentral lists this long non-coding RNA (912 nucleotides) under Mustela putorius furo (domestic ferret). RNAcentral's name for it is "lncRNA (ENSMPUG00000025688.1)". The record is from RNAcentral. Lineage: Eukaryota; Metazoa; Chordata; Mammalia; Carnivora; Mustelidae.